RNAcentral lists this ribosomal RNA (253 nucleotides) under uncultured bacterium. RNAcentral's name for it is "partial 16S ribosomal RNA". It matches the Rfam family "Bacterial small subunit ribosomal RNA", at positions 524 to 776 of the family's 1533-position model. The record is from RNAcentral.
UACGAAGGGUGCAAGCGUUACUCGGAAUUACUGGGCGUAAAGCGUGCGUAGGUGGUGAGUUAAGUCUGUCGUGAAAGCCCCGGGCUCAACCUGGGAACUGCGUCUGAUACUGGAUGGCUUGAAUCCGGGAGAGGGAUGCAGAAUUCCAGGUGUAGCGGUGAAAUGCGUAGAUAUCUGGAGGAAUACCGGUGGCGAAGGCGGCAUCCUGGACCGGCAUUGACGCUGAGGAGCGAAAGCUAGGGGAGCAAACGGG